Molecule: ribosomal RNA, 678 nt
Filed under: uncultured archaeon
Lineage: Archaea
Description: bacterial SSU rRNA
Rfam family: Archaeal small subunit ribosomal RNA
Source: RNAcentral
UCCCUAGGGGGUGCAGCAGGCGAGAAACCUUAGCAAUGUGCGAAAGCACGACUGGGUCAGUCCGAGUGAUUCCCGAUAAAGGAGUCUUUUGCCUGUCCUAAAAGCACAGGUGGAUAAGGGGUGGGCAAGUCUGGUGUCAGCCGCCGCGGUAAUACCAGCACCUCGAGUGGUCAGGACGUUUAUUGGGCCUAAAGCAUCCGUAGCCGGCUCUGCAAGUCUUCGGUCAAAUCCACCUGCUCAACAGAUGGGCCGCUGGAGAUACUACAGAGCUAGGGAGUGGGAGAGGCAGACGGUAUUCAGUGGGUAGGGGUAAAAUCCUCUGAUCCAUUGAGGACCACCAGUGGCGAAGACGGUCUGCCAGAACACGUUCGACGGUGAGGGAUGAAAGCUGGGGGAGCAAACCGGAUUAGAUACCCGGGUAGUCCCAGCUGUAAACGAUGCAAACUCGGUGAUGCAUUGGCUUAUGGCCAAUGCAGUGCCGCAGGGAAGCCGUUAAGUUUGCCGCCUGGGAAGUACGGACGCAAGUCUGAAACUUAAAGGAAUUGGCGGGGGAGCACCACAAGGGGUGAAGCCUGCGGUUCAAUUGGAGUCAACGCCAGGAAUCUUACCCGGGGAGACAGCAGAAUGAAGGUCAAGCUGAAGACUUUACCAGACAAGCUGAGAGGAAGUGCAUGGCCA